UACGGAGGGAGCUAGCGUUGUUCGGAAUUACUGGGCGUCAAGCGCACGUAGGCGGCUUUUUAAGUCAGGGGUGAAAUCCCGGGGCUCAACCCCGGAACUGCCCUUGAAACUGGAGAGCUAGAAUCUUGGAGAGGCGAGUGGAAUUCCGAGUGUAGAGGUGAAAUUUGUAGAUAUUCGGAAGAACACCAGUGGCGAAGGCGACUUACUGGACACAUAUUGACGCUGAGGUGCGAAAGCGUGGGGAGCAAACAGG
This 253-nucleotide ribosomal RNA is filed under the name uncultured bacterium. RNAcentral describes it as "partial 16S ribosomal RNA". It matches the Rfam family "Bacterial small subunit ribosomal RNA", at positions 524 to 776 of the family's 1533-position model. The record is from RNAcentral.